RNAcentral lists this long non-coding RNA (203 nucleotides) under Lathyrus oleraceus (garden pea). RNAcentral's name for it is "Pisum sativum (pea) long non-coding RNA (PSAT_LNC011692)". Lineage: Eukaryota; Viridiplantae; Streptophyta; Magnoliopsida; Fabales; Fabaceae. The record is from RNAcentral.
GAUUCUGGCUGGGAAAUCAACCAGACAUUAAUGAAUGACUGGGAAUAGGGUAUACAAUCAGACGUCAUCGGACGAAUGAGAAAAACACAACGUUUAUCGAAACCAACGGGGAGGUAAAUCCACUUGGGGAAGGGUACAACUAGACGUCAUAGGACGAAUAGGAAAAACUCGACGUUUAUCGACACCAACGGAGAGGAGAAAAC